RNAcentral lists this ribosomal RNA (253 nucleotides) under uncultured bacterium. RNAcentral's name for it is "partial 16S ribosomal RNA". It matches the Rfam family "Bacterial small subunit ribosomal RNA", at positions 524 to 776 of the family's 1533-position model. The record is from RNAcentral.
UACAGAGGGUGCGAGCGUUGUUCGGAAUUAUUGGGCGUAAAGGGCGCGUAGGCGGCCUGGCAAGUGGAAGGUGAAAUCCCUCGGCUUAACCGAGGAACUGCCUUCCAAACUGCUUGGCUUGAGUCCGGGAGAGGUGAGUGGAAUUCCCAGUGUAGCGGUGAAAUGCGUAGAUAUUGGGAGGAACACCAGUGGCGAAGGCGGCUCACUGGACCGGAACUGACGCUGAUGCGCGAAAGCGUGGGGAGCAAACAGG